RNAcentral lists this ribosomal RNA (531 nucleotides) under uncultured rumen archaeon. RNAcentral's name for it is "bacterial SSU rRNA". It matches the Rfam family "Archaeal small subunit ribosomal RNA", at positions 138 to 669 of the family's 1478-position model. The record is from RNAcentral.
AACUGAGGAUAAUCACGGAUAGGCAAUUUUUCCUGUAAUGGUUUUUUGUUUAAAUGUUUUUUCGCCUAAGGAUGGGUCUGCGGCCGAUUAGGUAGUUGGUUAGGUAAUGGCUUACCAAGCCGUUGAUCGGUACGGGUUGUGAGAGCAAGAGCCCGGAGAUGGAACCUGAGACAAGGUUCCAGGCCCUACGGGGUGCAGCAGGCACGAAACCUCCGCAAUGUGAGAAAUCGCGACGGGGGGAUCCCAAGUGCCAUUCUUAACGGGAUGGCUUUUCAUUAGUGUAAAGAGCUUUUGGAAUAAGAGCUGGGCAAGACCGGUGCCAGCCGCCGCGGUAACACCGGCAGCUCUAGUGGUAGCAGUUUUUAUUGGGCCUAAAGCGUCCGUAGCCGGUUUAAUAAGUCUCUGGUGAAAUCCUGUAGCUUAACUGUGGGAAUUGCUGGAGAUACUAUUAGGCUUGAGAUCGGGAGAGGUUAGAGGUACUCCCAGGGUAGAGGUGAAAUUCUGUAAUCCUGNGAGGACCGCCUGUUGCGA